This 318-nucleotide long non-coding RNA is filed under the name Homo sapiens (human). RNAcentral describes it as "non-protein coding lnc-MEOX2-3:1". Lineage: Eukaryota; Metazoa; Chordata; Mammalia; Primates; Hominidae. The record is from RNAcentral.
CUGGUUAACGUUCCUAAAACCCGCCGGACUUUCUGUAAGAAGUGUGGCAAGCACCAACCCCAUAAAGUGACACAGUACAAGAAGGGCAAGGAUUAUCUGUAUGCCCAUGGAAAGCGGCGUUAUGACAGGAAGCAGAGUGGCUAUGGUGGGCAAACCAAGCUGAUUUUCCAGAAAAAGGCUAAAGCUACAAAGAAGAUUGUCCUAAGGCUUGAGUGCCUUGAGCCCAACUGCAGAUCUAAGAGAAUGCUGCCUAUUAAAAGAUGCAAGCAUUUUGAACUGGGAGGAGAUAAUAAGAGAAAGGGCCAAGUGAUCCAGUUC